Non-coding RNA from Rattus norvegicus (Norway rat), 4761 nucleotides. The record is from RefSeq and is a predicted model, not a curated record. NCBI's taxonomy places the organism in Eukaryota, Metazoa, Chordata, Mammalia, Rodentia, Muridae.
CCUGAGAGCUAGCAAGUGCCUUACAGUGGUUCAUACUCUUAUAACACCACAGGGGAUAGGCUCCGGGGCUUCAGCAAAGGACAGAGCGCCAUGGCUUGGAAAUCUGUAUGUGAAGGGGACUUGAUGUUAGGACCACAGUUUCUGAGAGUUUAUCUCCUAUAAGAUGAAUCGCCUAGAGACGCCUGGUGCAUCUUUCUUUACACUUCACCUCCCCCACUGUGGAUGAGAAAUAGACUUUUCCCUCAUCCAUCAUAAGUCAGCGUGACAGGGCUGUCGGUCCUGCAGCCUGACCUACUGCAUCUUUCUUGUCUCAGCCGGCUUCAGCGCCUCGCUGCUUCCUCCGGAUUGGAGCUGGUCCUCUUUGCUGUCAGAUGGACUGUAUACAUCUGUCUGGACAGCAAUGAAGGAUGUUCCCACUAUCAAGUCAAACCUUUACAAGGAGAUAAUGCAAAAUUUCCUUGUUCUCUUAUUCAUCCUGAUUUUCUCAGUCACAGUGUGUUGGGCACACUGAUGCAGCCAUACCAGAACUUAAAGGCUAUGUUCAAAAGGAGAUGAAACUUCACACUGAUGAAGCCCUGUAUGUCAUGCAACCUGACUUCAGUUGCUAAGAUUGGGCUUGGUCCUAAUGGCUGGGAUUCUUGGCUGUCCAUUUGACUAAAUCUGGAAUUAACUAAACCCCAAGCAGUUGAGUACACCUGUGAGGGAUUUUUUUCCCCUCAACUAAAUCAUUGCAAGUAGGAAGACCUACUUUUAAUGCAAAUCUUUUGAGGUGGGAUAAUCUACCUUUAAUCUGGGCCACACCUACUGCUGACAGCCUAUAUAAAGGACAUGGAAGAAAGAAGCCAGCUCUCUACCUCCUUGGCUUCACUCACUCUCCCUGGCAAGUCCACUCCCUCAUGGGCAUUAGACACUACUUCUUUUGGAUUGUGGUGUAUCCUGAAGACCGGCUGAGCUUUCUGGCCUCAUGAACUGAAUGACUAUUAGAUUCUUGGACCUUCUGUUAGUAGACAACUAUUGUAGUAUUAGUUGGACCACAGCCUUUAAGCCAUUUUAAUUAAUCACAUAUAUAUGUGAAAUAUUAAUAUAAAAUUAAAUAUAAUUAUUUGAUAUAAAAUAGUUAAAUAUAAUUUGAUGUUCAUAGUAGAACAUAUUUAUUAUACAUACAUUGUUUAUUAAUCAGUUCCGUUCCUCUAGAAAACCUUGACUAAUACAAUGGCCUUUGAAAUUAACAUUUUUAUGCAUUGUUUUCUUUGUUUUAACCACAAACUUUUUUAGUAAUUGGAACUGUCUCUAACAAAUCUGAGACUGUGAGGCCACCUGUUGUGUAAAUAUUGCCUCCGAAUUGAAACAUUCCCUCCUGCAGUGAAGAUGAAUUCUCUGAAGGCUUAGGAAGCUAAUCAAACGUGUGUGACUCAGAAAGCUCAGAAAGUUAGAAAACUCAGUUGCAUAUGCUGUAAACAAGCUGGGUGAGGAGGGGACUGUGAGGUGGAGUUUCCUGCAAGCUGAUCAGGGAGUGCCAAAGUGCUAGAGAAAACUAUUCCUCCAUGAAACAGCACCCACACUUCUGUAAGCAACCCCAACAUUCUGGUUCAACAGCCUAGACUUGAAUGAAAUUAUCUCUUCAGCCUGUGACUGGGGCCCUAAGUGGGGUGAAUAGAAGAUUGUUCUUAUGACAUCACUUUCCUAAAUAAGAGAAAUGGAGGAGCAAAACAGACUCCUUAUCAGGAAGUAUUAAAGAAAACAAAAAUUGAUAGAGAAGUUUUGAGAAAUACUGGAGGGAAGCCAUAGUUAAGUAUUUUUCUGGGAGCCCAGAGAGUGAGUGUACCAGCAAAGACCUUCAUCUCCCUCAGAAUUGAUGAGGGGGUUUUGUUGCUGUUGUUUUUUUGUUUGUUUACUAACUGGAAUACUGUUUGGGACAGCUGUGUGUUUUACUAAAGAGGAUGAGAAGAAACACUUUAAGUCAGACUUUGGUGUAUCAGGCUGAGACAAUCUAAAAGGAAGUCUGGCUUAGCAAAGAAAAUCUGACUCAGCAGGAAAAGUGCUGAUUCAGCCAAAAACAAAAGCCAGCCUUUAUCAUUGUUUGCUUUUUCUUCUUGAACAGCCUGACAUACAUUUCAUAGUGAGCCCUUCAAUUAGAAUGUAUUUUGAAUUUGAUUUUUGAUUAGAAAAAUGGUACACACUAAGGUAGGCAUGGUAGGAAGUUGAAGGCCAGCCUGGACUGCAUUGUAAAAGCUUGUUUGGAAGAGAAAAGAAAGAGAAGAAACAAUAAAAAAUGCUCAAACAUCCUCAAAUAACAAAAUGCUUCCAAAAAUCCUUGAAUCUGCUUCAACACUCACUGCAUUUUGCUUUACAGUCCUGUCUGAGCUUUUGUUUCUUUCCUUCAUUGUUGUUAUUAUUGUUUUUUUUUAUUUUAUAGAUUCAGCCUGAGGCAGCCUGUGGACGUAAGGAAAGACAUGAGCACUGUGUCCAGUUACCUUGGUAACACAUGCCUGACACACCAACACUUAUAUUUCAGGUCACGCAUCAGCCGUUUGCAUUGCUAGGACCCAGCAGACCCUGUUAGUUAGCACAUGACAUUCUGGAAUUCCCAAGGAUUCACCUUGGGGUAGAAUAAUGACAGGAUGGUAUAGAUACAACCAAACUCAAGAACUGGACACACUUGUAGCUCUUAGCAAAAGACAAGAGAGAGCAGGGUCCUACGAAAUAAUAGCAUUUUAGGUAAAAUUGAAGUGACAUGUCCUGUACCACGGUCUAGCCAUCUUGAAUGUGCCCAAUGUGUUCUAAAGGAAAAGAAGCUUGUGCAGGUUAAACAUGGAGAGCUGCCAAGCUUUAGAUAUUGAUGUGGAGUUUUACCACCCCACACCCCUACCCCAGAGGCAUCAUGGGAACCUUGCGGUGAGAUUACCAUGAGUAUAGCAAGUAUCUAUCAAUUUGCUGAAAGAGUGCAUGGAGGUGCUUAACUUGGUGAUGGCAGCCUAUGAGCUUUUCAGCUUCUGCAUUUCUUACAAGAAACUCAAAUAUGAGUUUCAACCCAAGUAAUACUGAAGCGGGUGGGAACCACACUCUUUUUUUUUUCUUUUCUUCAGAGCUGGGGACCGAACCCAGGGCCUUGCGCUUGCUAGGCAAGCGCUCUACCACUGAGGUAAAUCCCCAACCCCAGGAACCACACUCUUGAACACACAGUUCUCAUUCAUGAAGAAUUCAAUCUUUUCAUAUCCUGAGAUGAGAACUAAUAUCCAAUAAAAGACUACUGGCUUAUCUUUUUAAAAAAUGACAAUUCUUUAGAAGCUGUCUGGCUGUCAGGUAUGUGACUCCAUGGUAAUCCAAAAUAUCAUGGCAUACUUGGUUAUAUACUUCUAGGUCCCUGUGCCUUAGGCUGAACAGUGUAGGUUUGUCCAAUAACACACAAUUGUGGGGAAAGUCAGGGGCUAGAGGGCUAAUACUAGGUCUAUGGGAUGGCUUCUCCUUCUAUGCCCUAGUACUCGAUAAGGUGUUUGCACAGAGAACAGUUGAGAAUGAGUUUAACAGAUGUGUAACUUCUUUUAAGUGGGUCCCAUAUUCUGGUCUAGAUUGUGAGUCUUAAGAGAUCUUCUGUAAUCUGUACUAGAGCUGGUAUUCUAGCUCUAAGGCUUAGUUUUGGACACAUUCCUGUUUCACACUGUCACCAAACAUUUUCUCUUUGAUGGAGGUUUCAAUUCUAAAUCUCAUUCAAUACUCUCCACUAGCAAUUCACCAAAAUUAUCCAAGACCCAUCUAAUUGUAUAAAACCACAUACAGUCAGUGAGGUCCCCACUGCUAAGGACUUGAUAGUCAAAAGGAAAGGCUCAUAUAUUUCUGUCAUGUGACAGAACUGAUAAGAUACAAUCACACCGAUUUCAAAGCUUGUCUCCUGGGUUAAAAGUAACAUACACAUAUUUCAAAUGUUCCUUAACCUAUGAUGGGGUCACAUCCUGAUAAACCCACCAUAAACUGAAAGAAUUGUUAAGUCUAAAUGUUCAAGCGCCAAAUGUACUUAGUAUAUCUAGUAUACGAAAUAUUGUAGUCUUGGACACACUCAGAAAACACAUAUUAGCUUGAUGGCUGGCAGAUACUGUACAUGAAUCCUGCUGUUUCGUCAAGUGUUGAGCAGCUCAUGACAGUUGUCGACUAUUGGUACUGAAAGUCAACAAGAGAACAGAUGUGUAGGUCUGCCUUUCAUUCUGUUCCAAGGCUGAAAACCAUUUGGUUGAGCUACCAUAAAUUGGGAACCUCACAUAGUUUGGGGUCAAGGCACUGAGCUGACUGAAAGAAGAGGUCAGGGUGGGUGGUGAGGUUUGAGGACUUUGGAUCACUGCCUCAGGAUGACAGAAGAAACCUAGUUUUCUUCAAGUCUGUAACCAUGUAAUCAAGGGAGGACCUUAAAGUAUAGAAUGGUGAGUCUUGGUCUGCUCUCCAACCUUGUGCCUUGGACUUAGUAGGUAAGCAGUCUACCACUGAGGUACAUGCCCAGCCUCGGCUUUACAACCCUCUGAGCCAAGCUGAUAAAUCAACAGACUGAGUCUGUGCUCAGAGGGCAAGUCUUGGCCAAGAGACACACCGGACAGCCUCAGCUGUUGUACUUUAAGCCUAAGUCCUCUCUCAUCCCCUCCGAGAUAAGUGACUUAGUGGGAGAGAUAAAGUUUGACUAAACGUUUCUUCAAAGCAGCAGAAUGAGCCUCUUCUGCUUGCCAUGGAACACUGAUUUCUAAAAAAAAAAAAAAAAAAAAAAAAAAAAAAAAAAAA